RNAcentral lists this transfer RNA (57 nucleotides) under Dipodomys ordii (Ord's kangaroo rat). It matches the Rfam family "tRNA", at positions 8 to 63 of the family's 71-position model. Rfam says of the family: Transfer RNA (tRNA) molecules are approximately 80 nucleotides in length. The record is from Rfam by way of RNAcentral. Lineage: Eukaryota; Metazoa; Chordata; Mammalia; Rodentia; Heteromyidae.
UGGCUUAGUGGUAAAGUCCUUGCCUAGCAUGCAUGAAGCCCUGGGUUAGAGUCCCAG